CGACCUGACAUCAGGUGAGGCUACCCGCUGAACUUAARCAUAUCGUAAGCGGAGGA
Molecule: ribosomal RNA, 56 nt
Filed under: Ulva intestinalis (hollow green seaweed)
Lineage: Eukaryota; Viridiplantae; Chlorophyta; Ulvophyceae; Ulvales; Ulvaceae
Description: partial 28S large subunit ribosomal RNA
Source: RNAcentral